AGCUUUGCGCAGUGGCGGUAUCGUAGCCAAUGAGGUUUAUCCGAGGCGCGAUUAUUGCUAAUUGAAAACUUACAUUAGGGAGAUUAGUCUUGAGUGUGGUAGAAGUUUCCAUUUUUUUCUUUUGCCAUGACAAUUUUUAAAAUGUUUUUGAAU
Molecule: small nuclear RNA, 153 nt
Filed under: Aotus nancymaae (Ma's night monkey)
Lineage: Eukaryota; Metazoa; Chordata; Mammalia; Primates; Aotidae
Description: U4 spliceosomal RNA (ENSANAG00000002526.1)
Rfam family: U4 spliceosomal RNA
About the family: U4 small nuclear RNA (U4 snRNA) is a component of the major U2-dependent spliceosome.
Source: Rfam by way of RNAcentral